GUGGCUUAGAUACCCUAGUAGUCCACGCCGUAAACGAUGAGCACUAGGUGUCGGGGUCGCAAGACUUCGGUGCCGCAGUUAACGCAUUAAGUGCUCCGCCUGGGGAGUACGCACGCAAGUGUGAAACUCAAAGGAAUUGACGGGGACCCGCACAAGCAGCGGAGCAUGUGGUUUAAUUCGAAGCAACGCGAAGAACCUUACCAGGACUUGACAUCCCUCUGACAGGACUUUAACAGGUCCCUCCUUCGGGCAGAGGUGACAGGUGGUGCAUGGCCGUCCUCAACU
This 285-nucleotide ribosomal RNA is filed under the name uncultured bacterium. RNAcentral's name for it is "partial 16S ribosomal RNA". It matches the Rfam family "Bacterial small subunit ribosomal RNA", at positions 773 to 1060 of the family's 1533-position model. The record is from RNAcentral.